GAUGAACGCUAGCGGCAGGCUUAAUACAUGCAAGUCGUGGGGCAGCAUGAGUAGCAAUACUUGAUGGCGACCGGCAAACGGGUGAGGAACACGUACACAACCUUCCUUCAAGCGGGGAAUAGCCCAGAGAAAUUUGGAUUAAUACCCCGUAAUAUAUUUGAUAAGGCAUCUUAUUAAUAUUAAAGCUUCGGCACUUGAUGAUGGGUGUGCGGCUGAUUAGAUAGUUGGCGGGGUAACGGCCCACCAAGUCUACGAUCAGUAGCUGAUGUGAGAGCAUGAUCAGCCACACGGGCACUGAGACACGGGCCCGACUCCUACGGGAGGCAGCAGUAAGGAAUAUUGGACAAUGGACGAAAGUCUGAUCCAGCCAUGCCGCGUGAAGGAUUAAGGUCCUCUGGAUUGUAAACUUCUUUAUAUGGGACGAAAAAAGGGCAUUCUUGUUCACUUGACGGUACCAUAUGAAUAAGCACCGGCUAACUCCGUGCCAGCA
RNAcentral lists this ribosomal RNA (490 nucleotides) under uncultured bacterium. RNAcentral describes it as "bacterial SSU rRNA". It matches the Rfam family "Bacterial small subunit ribosomal RNA", at positions 28 to 513 of the family's 1533-position model. The record is from RNAcentral.